RNAcentral lists this transfer RNA (69 nucleotides) under Ictidomys tridecemlineatus (thirteen-lined ground squirrel). Its description in RNAcentral is "Spermophilus tridecemlineatus (thirteen-lined ground squirrel) tRNA". It matches the Rfam family "tRNA". Rfam says of the family: Transfer RNA (tRNA) molecules are approximately 80 nucleotides in length. Their secondary structure includes four short double-helical elements and three loops (D, anti-codon, and T loops). Further hydrogen bonds mediate the characteristic L-shaped molecular structure. tRNAs have two regions of fundamental functional importance: the anti-codon, which is responsible for specific mRNA codon recognition, and the 3' end, to which the tRNAs corresponding amino acid is attached (by aminoacyl-tRNA synthetases). tRNAs cope with the degeneracy of the genetic code in two manners: having more than one tRNA (with a specific anti-codon) for a particular amino acid; and 'wobble' base-pairing, i.e. permitting non-standard base-pairing at the 3rd anti-codon position. Lineage: Eukaryota; Metazoa; Chordata; Mammalia; Rodentia; Sciuridae. The record is from Rfam by way of RNAcentral.
GGGGUUGUGGCUCAGAGGUAGAGCGCUGGCCUAGCAUGCCCGAGGUACUGGGUUUGAUCCUCAGCACCA